This 373-nucleotide ribosomal RNA is filed under the name uncultured bacterium. RNAcentral's name for it is "bacterial SSU rRNA". It matches the Rfam family "Bacterial small subunit ribosomal RNA", at positions 523 to 898 of the family's 1533-position model. The record is from RNAcentral.
AUACGUAGGACACGAGCGUUAUCCGGAUUUACUGGGCGUAAAGCGCCUGUAGGCGGUCUUGUAAGUCGGAUGUGAAAGCCCCAGGCUUAACCUGGGGAAGCCAUUCGAUACUGCGGGACUUGAGGAUGGCAGAGGGGAGUGGAAUUCCCGGUGUAGCGGUAAAAUGCGCAGAUAUCGGGAGGAACACCAGUGGCGAAGGCGGCUCCCUUGGUCAUCCCUGACGCUGAGAGGCGAAAGCUAGGGGAGCGAACAGGAUUAGAGACCCUGGUAGUCCUAGCCCUAAACGAUGGAUGCUAGGUGGAGGAUCGAUAGGUUUUCUGCCAAAGCUAACGCGUUAAGCAUCCCGCCUGGGGACUACGGCCGCAAGGCUAAA